UUGCCGGGGUACAGAGCCACACGGUGCCGAGGCUGUGGACGGGCAUGACGAGGCUCACCACUCAGACUUGUUUUAGUUCAGCUCGCCGCCCACGCACAGGAGAAUGAAAUCUUCUGUUUGUCAAUUACAUUUAUUUUUUCAUAUUUCGUCACAUUGCGGUGCCGUGUGACCCUGGUUGCUCAGCGCCCUGGUGAUCGCUAUUCGCUCAGCUGGACUUCUCCCGCGGCAGGGGAGGCAGGGCCGGGAGGUGCUGGCCUCGCAGGAAAAGACGGCUCGUGACCUCUCGGCGAUAACUGCACGCCGGUGUGAGCGAGGCACGCCGCUGAAGUAAAGGGCGCUGAGGAAUACAUGGGCUGCAGGCCUACAGGCCAAAACCCUGGCCCAAGCCUCUGCAAGGCGGCAGUGAACUGCUUAAAGACUAGUACAUUUCUGGCUACAGUAAUCAUCAACACACCAAGGGAAAAAAGACAUCAGUGAACAAAAUGGCAUGGAAAUCAACCCGAGCAUGGCACAGUAUCAUGCACUGUGUGACACUGGAGUAUUCAGAGGCACAAUAUUAACUGAAGGUAUGCACAGUAUUCAGAGGCACAAUAUUAACUGAAGGUGUGCACAGUAUUCAGAGGCACAAUAUUAACUGAAGGUAUGCACAGUAUUCAGAGGCACAAUAUUAACUGAAGGUAUGCACAGUAUUCAGAGGCACAAUAUUAACUGAAGGUAUGCACAGUAUUCAGAGGCACAAUAUUAACUAAAGGUGUGCACAGUAUUCAGAGGCACAAUAUUAACUAAAGGUGUGCACAGUAUUCAGAGGCACAAUAUUAACUGAAGGUGUGCACAGUAUUCAGAGGCACAAUAUUAACUAAAGGUGUGCACAGUAUUCAGAGGCACAAUAUUAACUAAAGGUGUGCACAGUAUUCAGAGGCACAAUAUUAACUAAAGGUGUGCACAGUAUAAUUGGA
Molecule: long non-coding RNA, 956 nt
Organism: Eriocheir sinensis (Chinese mitten crab)
Lineage: Eukaryota; Metazoa; Arthropoda; Malacostraca; Decapoda; Varunidae
Exons: 2
Source: RefSeq, a predicted model, not a curated record